UCGGGAAUUUUGGGCAAUGGGCGAAAGCCUGACCCAGCAACGCCGCGUGAAGGAUGAAGUAUUUCGGUAUGUAAACUUCGAAAGAAUGGGAAGAAUCAAUGACGGUACCAUUUAUAAGGUCCGGCUAACUACGUGCCAGCAGCCGCGGUAAUACGUAGGGACCAAGCGUUGUUCGGAUUUACUGGGCGUAAAGGGCGCGUAGGCGGCUUUGUAAGUCACUUGUGAAAUCUCCGGGCUUAACUCGGAACGGCCAAGUGAUACUGCAAAGCUAGAGUGCAGAAGGGGCAAUCGGAAUUCUUGGUGUAGCGGUGAAAUGCGUAGAUAUCAAGAGGAACACCUGAGGUGAAGACGGGUUGCUGGGCUGACACUGACGCUGAGGCGCGAAAGCCAGGGGAGCAAACGGGGAUUAGAUACCCCCGUAGUCCCUGAGCGGGCUGGCAAG
RNAcentral lists this ribosomal RNA (442 nucleotides) under uncultured bacterium. RNAcentral's name for it is "bacterial SSU rRNA". It matches the Rfam family "Bacterial small subunit ribosomal RNA", at positions 355 to 819 of the family's 1533-position model. The record is from RNAcentral.